UCUUGAUUCUCUCUGAAUAACGACAUACGAUAUACCGGCAGGUGACAGAACCACUGACAAGAGUGGUGAAAUUCUUCUUCGUUUGUGUCCGCUGGACCGCAUUUUACCGCCCCCUGGUGGCCGACUUACAAACAAAGCGCCACGAUGACUUGAUUGUCAUGGAUUAGCACAUAUUGCUUAACAUUAGAUUCUAUUCAAAUGUUUUCACCAGAUGUUUUUAUCCACUGAAAUUUUCCAUUUUCCUGAUUACAAACGUUUUGAGUUCCAAGCGUGGUUACGGAAUCAAUUAAAGUCAUUUUUUUUUUGGGCACGCCCACCUUUUUGGAGAUUUUUUUUUUUCCCCCGCACUUCCGACAUUUAACUUCGUGCGCACAUCAUUUAUUGCAAAGCACCGCGGCCUCCUGAAGCAGCGCAGUAGGGUUAGGUUUACUUUUCUACUUUUGUCUGUCUGCGGUCAUCUUGCCAGCGAGGAUGCGCUUGCGGAAUGCGGGGGAAAAGAUGCAAACACUUUUGUACUUUGUACACUACACGGAGGGACUGAUAUGUAACCAAGCAGUUAAAAAAGUCAAUUUUUUAAAGGUGCGAUUAAAAUGUUUCCUUUUCUUGUGAGCGGGACAAACAAUUACUGCAAUUAUGCUUUGAAUCCAUCAGGCUGUCUUUCUCCCCGGUAACGUGCGCACACAGCGGCCGCGAGAGGCUCGAGUAAUCUCUCGUGUGAUAUUCCAGGGAUAUGACAUCCAAUUUGUGGUUGAAAAUUGGUGAGCAAGACUCGAACUGAGCUUCAUUUGGGUGUCGACACUCCAUCGGAUGUCACUGGAGCUGCUGUGAACUCAACCGGACGACGCGCAGACUCGCCGCUCUCACAUCAGACGCCACGGAAGCGCUGACGAGGAAGAUGGCAAACGAACGUAUGCUUUCAGCAACUGCGUUUCUGAUCGUGUGCGCGUCUUCACCUCCGGGAGUCCACCGCGUCCUCGAGCUCCCGGGCCUUGAGAGCCGCCGUUCGCAGGACCGACUCCGGGACGUCGGCCAAGCGGGCCACGUUGAGGCCGUAACUCCGCUCGGCAGCUCCUUCGCUUAACUGGUAGAGGAAGGUGAUGAAUUCGGGACGAACUUCCCCGUCUGCUGAGACGUGGCCCAGCGGACACAUCGGGGUCAUUGAGGAGAAAGGACAUGUGGUAGUUGGACACAUGUUGCGGAAACAUCCGCUCCAGAUCACACAAGGGCGGGUAAUGAGUCACAAAGAGGGUGAAAGACUUCACCUGCAGCACAGGAAG
Syngnathoides biaculeatus (alligator pipefish) is the source of this 1277-nucleotide long non-coding RNA. RefSeq lists it as uncharacterized. The record is from RefSeq and is a predicted model, not a curated record. NCBI's taxonomy places the organism in Eukaryota, Metazoa, Chordata, Actinopteri, Syngnathiformes, Syngnathidae. The transcript has 3 exons.